AUACUUACCUGGUAGAGGAGAUACUAUGAUCACGAAGGUGGUUUUCCCAGGGUGAGGUUUGUUUACUUAUUGCACUCCGGGUGUGUGGACCUCUGCGAUUUCCUCAAAUGGGGGAAACUAUACUGCAUGAUUUGUGGUAGUGGGGGACUGCAUUCACACUCUCCCCUG
Small nuclear RNA from Rhinolophus ferrumequinum (greater horseshoe bat), 168 nucleotides. Its record names the gene U1. It matches the Rfam family "U1 spliceosomal RNA". Rfam says of the family: U1 is a small nuclear RNA (snRNA) component of the spliceosome (involved in pre-mRNA splicing). Its 5' end forms complementary base pairs with the 5' splice junction, thus defining the 5' donor site of an intron. There are significant differences in sequence and secondary structure between metazoan and yeast U1 snRNAs, the latter being much longer (568 nucleotides as compared to 164 nucleotides in human). The record is from Ensembl. NCBI's taxonomy places the organism in Eukaryota, Metazoa, Chordata, Mammalia, Chiroptera, Rhinolophidae.